This 361-nucleotide unclassified non-coding RNA is filed under the name uncultured bacterium. RNAcentral's name for it is "contains 16S-23S intergenic spacer region". The record is from RNAcentral.
UCCCCGUUACCGGGGCAGUCCAAGUAGAAAAAUACAACUAUUCACAAGGGUUGCGCUCGUUGAAGGACUUAACCUAACAUCUCACGACACGAGCUGACGACGGCCAUGCAACACCUGUCACUUGGUUCCGAAGCACUUUCUACUUUCAUAGAAAUUCCAAGGAUGUCAAACCCUGGUAAGGUUUAUCGGUUAUCAUCGAAUUAAAGAACAUAAUCCACCGCUUGUGCUGAUCCCCGUCAAUUCCUUUAUGUUUUAGUCUUGCGACCGUACUCCACAGGCGGGAUACUUAACGCGUUAGCUUCGCUACUGAAGGGGUCGAUACCUCCAACAGCUAGUAUCCAUCGUUUACGGCGUGGACUAC